CUGAGAACCACAUCGCCAAGCCAUCUUGGGUUACUUGUAUUUUAGUAGCAUGAGUGGACAACAAAACCAAAUCUAAAAAUACCCAGGGAAUCCUCUGUCGCUGAGAUCCUCCAGAUAAAAACUACUGAUGGGGUGAAGGCUCUGGAGAUGAAGGAAGAAGAGAUUGUGCCAGUGAGACCAAGACUGUAGGCUCACUCCCUGAAAGCAUCAAUCAUCCUCACUUUCAGUCUGAUGCAGGACUGACAAGUUGAGGAAAAUGAAGAGAAAGAGGAGGAGGAGGAGAAGGAAAAGGAAAAGAAACCUAGAUAUGUUUGAAUUUCAGAUAAACAUAAUUAUGUCCUAUGAAAUAUUUGGGGUAUACUUCUAUUAA
Molecule: long non-coding RNA, 370 nt
Organism: Erinaceus europaeus (western European hedgehog)
Lineage: Eukaryota; Metazoa; Chordata; Mammalia; Eulipotyphla; Erinaceidae
Exons: 3
Source: RefSeq, a predicted model, not a curated record